Molecule: non-coding RNA, 623 nt
Organism: Acanthochromis polyacanthus (spiny chromis)
Lineage: Eukaryota; Metazoa; Chordata; Actinopteri; Pomacentridae
Source: the annotation of a RefSeq genome assembly
AUGAUUUUGGUGAGUUUGUUUGUUCCAAAGUCAGAGAGCCGUGUCUCUCUACAGUCAGAGGUUUUUGUACGGCGGCUCAAUCAGUUUGUAUCACUGUGGUACACGUUCGGUGGAGGAACCAGACUGGAUGUUGGAAGUGAUGUCCGUCCCACCCUGACGGUGCUGCCCCCCUCCAGUGAGGAGCUGCAGCAGGGGAAGGCCACGCUCAUGUGCCUGGCCAACAAGGGCUUCCCCUCAGACUGGAGUCUGUCCUGGAAGGUGGACGGCAGCAGCAGCAGCAGCAGCAGCAGCAUGAGCUGGGAGGAGAGCAGGAGCCCCGGGGUGCUGGAGAAGGACGGCCACUACAGCUGGAGCAGCACCCUGAGGCUCCCUGCAGACCAGUGGAGGAAGGUGGUCUCUGUGAGCUGUGAGGCCACCCAGGGCUCCCACACUCCGCUCUCACAGACACUGAGGAGAGACCAGUGUUCCCAGUCCUGACCUCACUCACUGGGACUCUCAUACUGCUUUGACUCUCUGUCUGCUCUCUGGAACUCUCUCUCUUUCUGUCUCUCAUCAAAGUAAAUAACGAUUCAAAUAGUCCUGUUUUCCUCCUCAUCAUGUCACAGCUCAUGUUUUCACACAAU